RNAcentral lists this ribosomal RNA (949 nucleotides) under Acinetobacter sp. MAD03. RNAcentral's name for it is "bacterial SSU rRNA". It matches the Rfam family "Bacterial small subunit ribosomal RNA", at positions 61 to 993 of the family's 1533-position model. The record is from RNAcentral. Lineage: Bacteria; Pseudomonadati; Pseudomonadota; Gammaproteobacteria; Moraxellales; Moraxellaceae.
ACAAUUUGGUUAUNUNNNGAAGCAGGAGCGAGGGUGCUUGCACCUUAGCUUAGCGGCGGACGGGUGAGUAAUGCUUAGGAAUCUGCCUAUUAGUGGGGGACAACAUUCCGAAAGGGAUGCUAAUACCGCAUACGCCCUACGGGGGAAAGCAGGGGAUCUUCGGACCUUGCGCUAAUAGAUGAGCCUAAGUCGGAUUAGCUAGUUGGUGGGGUAAAGGCCUACCAAGGCGACGAUCUGUAGCGGGUCUGAAAGGAUGAUCCGCCACACUGGGACUGAGACACGGCCCAGACUCCUACGGGAGGCAGCAGUGGGGAAUAUUGGACAAUGGGGGGAACCCUGAUCCAGCCAUGCCGCGUGUGUGAAGAAGGCCUUUUGGUUGUAAAGCACUUUAAGCGAGGAGGAGGCGCUCUAGGAUAAUACCCUAGAUGCGUGGACGUUACUCGCAGAAUAAGCACCGGCUAACUCUGUGCCAGCAGCCGCGGUAAUACAGAGGGUGCGAGCGUUAAUCGGAUUUACUGGGCGUAAAGCGCGCGUAGGUGGCUAAUUAAGUCAAAUGUGAAAUCCCCGAGCUUAACUUGGGAAUUGCAUUCGAUACUGGUUAGCUAGAGUAUGGGAGAGGAUGGUAGAAUUCCAGGUGUAGCGGUGAAAUGCGUAGAGAUCUGGAGGAAUACCGAUGGCGAAGGCAGCCAUCUGGCCUAAUACUGACACUGAGGUGCGAAAGCAUGGGGAGCAAACAGGAUUAGAUACCCUGGUAGUCCAUGCCGUAAACGAUGUCUACUAGCCGUUGGGGCCUUUGAGGCUUUAGUGGCGCAGCUAACGCGAUAAGUAGACCGCCUGGGGAGUACGGUCGCAGACUAAAACUCAAAUGAAUUGACGGGGCCCGCACAAGCGUGGAGCAUGUGGUUUAUUCGAUGCAACGCGAGACCUUACCUGGCCUUGACAUACAGAG